RNAcentral lists this transfer RNA (27 nucleotides) under Ammodytes personatus (Pacific sandeel). RNAcentral's name for it is "partial tRNA-Pro". The record is from RNAcentral. Lineage: Eukaryota; Metazoa; Chordata; Actinopteri; Uranoscopiformes; Ammodytidae.
CAAAGAAUAGUUUAGUUCACAAUCUUA